This 1569-nucleotide ribosomal RNA is filed under the name Salinivibrio kushneri. Its description in RNAcentral is "bacterial SSU rRNA". It matches the Rfam family "Bacterial small subunit ribosomal RNA". The record is from RNAcentral. Lineage: Bacteria; Pseudomonadati; Pseudomonadota; Gammaproteobacteria; Vibrionales; Vibrionaceae.
UAAUUGAAGAGUUUGAUCAUGGCUCAGAUUGAACGCUGGCGGCAGGCCUAACACAUGCAAGUCGAGCGGAAACGGCAGCAUUGAAGCUUCGGUGGAUUUGCUGGACGUCGAGCGGCGGACGGGUGAGUAACGGCUGGGAACCUGCCCUGACGAGGGGGAUAACCGUUGGAAACGACGGCUAAUACCGCAUAAUGUCUUAGUUCAUUACGAGCUGGGACCAAAGGUGGCCUCUACAUGUAAGCUAUCGCGUUGGGAUGGGCCCAGUUAGGAUUAGCUAGUUGGUAAGGUAAUGGCUUACCAAGGCGACGAUCCUUAGCUGGUUUGAGAGGAUGAUCAGCCACACUGGGACUGAGACACGGCCCAGACUCCUACGGGAGGCAGCAGUGGGGAAUAUUGCACAAUGGGGGAGACCCUGAUGCAGCCAUGCCGCGUGUGUGAAGAAGGCCUUCGGGUUGUAAAGCACUUUCAGCAGUGAGGAAGGUGGUGUACUUAAUACGUGCACGGCUUGACGUUAGCUGCAGAAGAAGCACCGGCUAACUCCGUGCCAGCAGCCGCGGUAAUACGGAGGGUGCGAGCGUUAAUCGGAAUUACUGGGCGUAAAGCGCAUGCAGGCGGUUUGUUAAGUCAGAUGUGAAAGCCCGGGGCUCAACCUCGGAACCGCAUUUGAAACUGGCAGGCUAGAGUCUUGUAGAGGGGGGUAGAAUUUCAGGUGUAGCGGUGAAAUGCGUAGAGAUCUGAAGGAAUACCAGUGGCGAAGGCGGCCCCCUGGACAAAGACUGACGCUCAGAUGCGAAAGCGUGGGUAGCAAACAGGAUUAGAUACCCUGGUAGUCCACGCCGUAAACGCUGUCUACUUGGAGGUUGAGGUUUAGACUUUGGCUUUCGGCGCUAACGCAUUAAGUAGACCGCCUGGGGAGUACGGCCGCAAGGUUAAAACUCAAAUGAAUUGACGGGGGCCCGCACAAGCGGUGGAGCAUGUGGUUUAAUUCGAUGCAACGCGAAGAACCUUACCUACUCUUGACAUCCAGCGAAUCCUUUAGAGAUAGAGGAGUGCCUUCGGGAGCGCUGAGACAGGUGCUGCAUGGCUGUCGUCAGCUCGUGUUGUGAAAUGUUGGGUUAAGUCCCGCAACGAGCGCAACCCUUAUCCUUGUUUGCCAGCACGUAAUGGUGGGAACUCCAGGGAGACUGCCGGUGAUAAACCGGAGGAAGGUGGGGACGACGUCAAGUCAUCAUGGCCCUUACGAGUAGGGCUACACACGUGCUACAAUGGCAGAUACAGAGGGCAGCGAAGCUGCGAAGUGGAGCGAAUCCCUUAAAGUCUGUCGUAGUCCGGAUUGGAGUCUGCAACUCGACUCCAUGAAGUCGGAAUCGCUAGUAAUCGUGGAUCAGAAUGCCACGGUGAAUACGUUCCCGGGCCUUGUACACACCGCCCGUCACACCAUGGGAGUGGGCUGCACCAGAAGUAGAUAGCUUAACCUUCGGGAGGGCGUUUACCACGGUGUGGUUCAUGACUGGGGUGAAGUCGUAACAAGGUAGCCCUAGGGGAACCUGGGGCUGGAUCACCUCCUUA